This is a long non-coding RNA of Bos taurus (domestic cattle), 1147 nucleotides long. NCBI's taxonomy places the organism in Eukaryota, Metazoa, Chordata, Mammalia, Artiodactyla, Bovidae. The record is from Ensembl.
AAAGCAUCCGCUGUCCCCCAGUGGCCUCAUAGGAAACAAACCUGCACAGGGAUAAGCUUAAUAUCCCCCUCGAUGGCUCUCAUCGGCAUGCACCAUCCAGUUUUGUUUGUUCAAAAGCAAAGGAAAUGGAGUUGCUUUAAAUUUAUGAGCUGACAAGUUUCUGAGUAAUGGUGAAUCAUGGCUCAAUAUUCACCUGAAGCUCAGGCGGUGAGCUGGCUCAGGCUGCAUCUCUUCGAGGGGGCACAGCAAUUCACUGAAGGAUCACUCAUGGCCCUGAGCCGCCUGGAGUAAAAGAUGGAAGGCUGGACGAGGCCAAGGUCAGCACGCCCACGGAGAGAGGCUGCCGCACACCAGAAAAGCACUUCAGAGGGCAAAGAUGUCAACCCAAGUGCUGGUUAAGCAAUGGAAAAAUAGGGGUUGGGACCUGAAAAUAUGGAAAAGAAAACAAAAAUAUUGGCUUGACCAGGUAAGUCUUGGAUGCUAGAGAAGAGCCCGCAUAGCACGACCCCAGGGCAAAAACUGCCUUGGAAUUAAUCAGCCUAGGCCCUGAGACACUCUCCGUACUUCCAAGCCCUGAAGAUAAGACGCUGCAGAGCUGCACCCAUAGCUGCCAGCCUAAUUAGAGAUGCUUACCCUCCACCCAGUCAGUCCCAGUGAGUCAGGACAGAGAGGAGCUGGGCCACUCUGCUCCCCAGGGGCACUGGGAGACUUCCUUCCGGCAAAGCGUUCUGAGGCAUGCUGUGAGAUUUCCGAACCGCCCACCUCACUGCAGUUCUGAUCAGCUCAAGCCUUCCUGGAGAGAUGAAACGGGUCCGUGGGAUGAUUCGGCUCGAGGCAAGGAAACGUGAGAGAAGCACGCAUGAUAUCACCGCCCCCUCGAUUCAGAAACCUCACUCCUUCCUUUCCCUGAGUGACUUCACCUCUUCUCCUCACAUUCGGUUGAAACAAGGGCCCUACGGAAGGCAUUUCCGCUCACGAGUCCUGCCACCAAUGCAGAGGUCGCUCUGGAUGGGUUUCUAGAGACACCAAGGGGAAUCUUGAGACUUCGCAUCACUUGGUUGGAUAAACAUGAAGCACAGAGAACAGUACAAAUGUGUGCUUUUGUUAAAAUCUGUACAUACACAAAUAUAUAGAAAUAAAUGUAAAU